Molecule: long non-coding RNA, 25875 nt
Filed under: Manihot esculenta (cassava)
Lineage: Eukaryota; Viridiplantae; Streptophyta; Magnoliopsida; Malpighiales; Euphorbiaceae
Description: long non-coding RNA (MESC_LNC006638)
Source: RNAcentral
UUGAAAGCAAAAAUGAAAAAUUUCAACUAAUGCAAGCAAACUAAAAAUCAGAGCAAAAAUAAACUCAAAAAGUAAAAAUUCAGAAAUAUGCACCCCCACACCUAAAUCAUGCAUUGUCCUCAAUGUAUAAGAAACAUAAAAGAACAAAGGAAACUGAGUACUCCCCUGGGUGUGGUGUGCAUGGCGAUCCACUUGAUCAAGACUCAAGUAAUUGGAGAAGGAAAAAGAGUCCCAACUGUAUUGAGCAAAAAGUGUAGUACUCCUUUUGAUUUUGUCAUAGCCCAUCCUACUUUUUCCAUGUACUCAUGAAGUAACAUGAUUAGCUUCUCCUCUUUCAGAUGAGGUGUGCCUCUAGCUCUCAUAUUUGCAUUCUUGAGAUGAUUGGGAAACACUUUGAACUCCAAUUUGUGUUUCUCUAUGUGUAGCUGCAAAUUGGUACUAAAAUCUGGCAAAACAAACUCUACCUUGUCUGGAAGUUUGGGAAUGCAUUGAUCUGCAUGCUCCUUUGGUUUAGGUGCUUGGAACACCAUUUGUUCAUUGUGAGCAUGGGAUGUUUGCAUUGGAAGGCUGAAAGGAGUUUCAGAUUGCGAACUAAGCUGCAGUGAGGAAUUCGGCGUCUGAAAGGCAGUGAUGUUCGGCGGCCGAAGGAUGUCUGUAUUCGGCGGCCGAAGGUCUUCAGUAUGCGGAACAGGCUGUGGCGAGGGAUUCGGCUUCCGCAAGUCAUUCAAGUUCGGUGGCCGAAGAGCGUCUUCUGUCUGCGCAAUGUGUUCCUGAAGUGGUGCAACAGAAUGCGAUAUUUGAAGCUCAGUGGGGUUCGGCGGCCGAAAGUGGUAUGUGUUCGGCGGCCGAAUGUCUUCUGUCUGCGCAACUUCAAUCUGCUGGAUGUUGCAGACGGUUUCUUUCAAUUCUGGCUCUUUCUGACUUUCAUCAUCUUCUUGGCUAGCCUCCCUACAUGAAUCAUUGGUUAGAAUAUCAUCUUUUAUAUCAAAAAUACCUUUGCUCAGACAAUCAAUGAUAUUUGAAUUAUCAACAAGUUCUGUUUGAUCCGUUGGUUGGGACAAACAGUAUUCUGGUUGUGUUUCUUUAGCAACUCGAUCUUGCACUUGCCAACUUUCAUCAUCUAUCUCUUCAGCUUGAAGCUCUUCCUCUUUUCUUACCAUGUCUGCUCUCCAUUUGGCAGCUAUUCGAUCAGUUUCCUGUUGGACAUAUUGCAAAGUCUCCAUCAUCUCAUAAAGAUCAAUUCUGUGACUUUGAGGUAUUGCUUGGGCUUGAUAGUUUUUGUCAUAGCCAUAAUUCGGAUGAUCUCCCCAACAUGGAUUGUAAGUGUUAAGGCGGAGUUGUUGUUCUUCAAAAGCUCGUUCAGCUUGGUCUAUAAUAAAAAUUUUUGCAGCAUCGAUUUUUUCAUAAAGUUGACAAAGGAAAAAAGGUAUACUUACCUCGUCCAUGAUUCAGAUCUGGUCAUGAAAGAAAAAUAAACAAGUAAAAUCAAUUCCCCGGCAACGGCGCCAAUUUUUGACUUGCGGUUGUCGAAGCCGGUCAAAAAUAACCUUUCUGGUUAUCAACAAUUUACAACUGCAGAUAGUGGUGAAAGGAUCGAAUCCACAGGGAAUUGAAGACUUACCUAUUUUCCUUAUCAAGACCAAUAAAAUAAACUAAAAUAAAAAUAAACUGCAAAAGAAGAAAACUGAAAACGAGAUAAACUGANNNNNNNNNNNNNNNNNNNNNNNNNNNNNNNNNNNNNNNNNNNNNNNNNNNNNNNNNNNNNNNNNNNNNNNNNNNNNNNNNNNNNNNNNNNNNNNNNNNNNNNNNNNNNNNNNNNNNNNNNNNNNNNNNNNNNNNNNNNNNNNNNNNNNNNNNNNNNNNNNNNNNNNNNNNNNNNNNNNNNNNNNNNNNNNNNNNNNNNNNNNNNNNNNNNNNNNNNNNNNNNNNNNNNNNNNNNNNNNNNNNNNNNNNNNNNNNNNNNNNNNNNNNNNNNNNNNNNNNNNNNNNNNNNNNNNNNNNNNNNNNNNNNNNNNNNNNNNNNNNNNNNNNNNNNNNNNNNNNNNNNNNNNNNNNNNNNNNNNNNNNNNNNNNNNNNNNNNNNNNNNNNNNNNNNNNNNNNNNNNNNNNNNNNNNNNNNNNNNNNNNNNNNNNNNNNNNNNNNNNNNNNNNNNNNNNNNNNNNNNNNNNNNNNNNNNNNNNNNNNNNNNNNNNNNNNNNNNNNNNNNNNNNNNNNNNNNNNNNNNNNNNNNNNNNNNNNNNNNNNNNNNNNNNNNNNNNNNNNNNNNNNNNNNNNNNNNNNNNNNNNNNNNNNNNNNNNNNNNNNNNNNNNNNNNNNNNNNNNNNNNNNNNNNNNNNNNNNNNNNNNNNNNNNNNNNNNNNNNNNNNNNNNNNNNNNNNNNNNNNNNNNNNNNNNNNNNNNNNNNNNNNNNNNNNNNNNNNNNNNNNNNNNNNNNNNNNNNNNNNNNNNNNNNNNNNNNNNNNNNNNNNNNNNNNNNNNNNNNNNNNNNNNNNNNNNNNNNNNNNNNNNNNNNNNNNNNNNNNNNNNNNNNNNNNNNNNNNNNNNNNNNNNNNNNNNNNNNNNNNNNNNNNNNNNNNNNNNNNNNNNNNNNNNNNNNNNNNNNNNNNNNNNNNNNNNNNNNNNNNNNNNNNNNNNNNNNNNNNNNNNNNNNNNNNNNNNNNNNNNNNNNNNNNNNNNNNNNNNNNNNNNNNNNNNNNNNNNNNNNNNNNNNNNNNNNNNNNNNNNNNNNNNNNNNNNNNNNNNNNNNNNNNNNNNNNNNNNNNNNNNNNNNNNNNNNNNNNNNNNNNNNNNNNNNNNNNNNNNNNNNNNNNNNNNNNNNNNNNNNNNNNNNNNNNNNNNNNNNNNCAGAUGGCUCUCAGAAGAGGAAAGCGCGCAGAUUGUUUCUGAAUAGGAAGGAUGCACGAAUUUUGGUCUUCAAAAGGGAAGAUAUGCUGUCCAUACAUUCCUUUUUAGGUGGAGCCUCUUUUGAAAUUCGAAUGUUGAACGCAGAAGAGGAAGAGCAUCUCUUUGAGAUCUUGCUGCCUAAAUAAGAUGAUAUGAUUGCAGCAGUGUGUGCACAUCUUUGAACAAGGAAAGAAAGAUGUGCGAUUUGAAUUUCAAAUAAUCUUCUGACUGAGCUUUCCUUGUUUGCUUUUGCUUCUGCACUUUCCUCAUUUGAAAACUUUCCUUUUCUGAAAACUUUCCUUAUUUGGAAACUUUCCUUAUUUGGAAACUUUCCUUUUUCGGCACUUUCCAUAUAUGGCACUUUUUAGCAGUUUUAAGAGCAUUUUCUCCAGAUUGUCUAUUUACACCUAAUAUCUGCAAAACAUAAUUAAAACCACAAAAUUAAGCAGAAAAGAUGUAAAUAAACAUCAAGAACAUAAUGAUAAAAUGGACUAAAAUAUGCUCUAUCAGUACAGUAGGGGUGAAUAAAUAACACCAAUAGACAACAUUGUCCCUCUUCUUUAUGCAUAUAGUAUAGGAAUUAAAAUAUCUUAAUGGAAUCUAUAUAUUCUCAUGAAAAAUUGAUUAAAUAAUGGUAAUUUUAAGGCAUAAUCUUAUUAGUAUUUUUUAUUUUAAAAAUAUAGAUAGUGGGUGAAAUUUAAAGUUGAAUUUUUCUAUCUAUUUAUUUUGAGAUAUUCAAUUUUAUAUUAAAAAAAUUAACUUCAUAUUGAAAAAAAGAAAAAGGUACCUCCCAUUUUAUAACACAUUAAUUGUAUUCCACCUUUAUGUUUAUUUCAAAUAAAAAUAGUUGUAAAUUAAAUUUAAUAUUUUUUAGGUUAUAAAAUUUGAAAUAAAAUCAAUAAAUUUUGUUAAAUGGUAUUUUAUAAUUAAAUGUAACAUACGGAUAUUUUAAAGAAUAAGUUUAAAUCAAUUUGGUUUUAAUUUUUUUAAAAUAUUAAUUAUUAAUUUAUUAUUAUAAUUUAACCACUUAUAUUUAUUUUUAUAUUCUUAUAUUUUUUUGAUGUUGGACAAGCCGAGAGAUUUUUUUUUUCUUCUUUUUAUUAAAAAAAGGUUAAUUCUUUUUUAUUUGGUAAAAACUUGACACACCAAUAUAGUAAUUAUAGUUCCAUGAAACUCAAUUGGAUCUGAAAGCACCAAAUAUUCAUAUUCUUGUAAAGGUCUAGAAAUUAUUUGACAUGUGAAAAUAUCAAAUGCUGCAUGAAACUUGUCUUAUUGGAAACAAUUCAAGAGAACCAUUGACGUGUUCUAACAUGUCCUAAUUGCAGGGCUAAGAGUUCAUUACGGUAUACUGUUUCAGGCCCAAAUUCAUGUGUUGUAUUUUAAAGCUUGGGCUCAUAAAAACUAGGAAAAAUUCAUAAUUUCCUAUGAAUAAAAUUUAUUAUUAUUGCUGUUUAAAAAAAAAUCAUUAUUAUUGGCUAACUUGAUUUGGCCUAGUUUCAAACUCUCAAAUCUCGAUCCAUCUACUAAAAAAUAUUAUUAUUUACUUGCAUGACAUGGAAAAUUGAAUGUUCAAUGUAAUUAUUUACAGAAUAUACAGAUUUGAAUUUAAAAGAAGACCUGCCCAAUUGAUCCUGGUCGAGUGCCAGUGGAUUUUGGAUUGGAAUGUCAAUUUUGAUAAUUGAAGUGGAUUGCUGGAGCUGCUUCCCUUAGAUUCUGAUUCAGUUUUGAUUCCAAUCUUGAUAUCGGGUUGAAGAUUUAGGGUGAUUUGGUGGGCUCGAUUUGUUAAAAAAAUUUGAAGUUUACGUCUGAGAGUGAACAAAGAACUCUACUUUUCUUAAAUAUCUUCGGUUUAAUUUUCAUCAAUUAUCUUUUUAGUUUUGCUAUCAUACAAUAUGGAUUUUUUUUAGUUUGGUUUGAAAAUUCACAAAGUAUGCGCAAAUGUAAAAUUUUGACCUAAAACUAUUCUAUUUGUUUAUAGAAAAUAUUUUUCAAAAUAUUCUUUUAUAUUUUUUAACAUUUAAAUACUUAAAAAAAUUAGUCAAUUAAAAAAAUAUAUACUAAAUUUCAUUGCUCAAAGAAAAACACAAAACUAAUACAUCUAAGGAAAAAAUUUUACUGGCAUCAGAGUGUUUAUAUAUCCAACCAAUAAAAAGCUAUUAAUGUGUAUUUAUAAGUGAAACCUAUUAUUAUCAUAAUUUAUACGGCAUUUGUGAAUUGGCUGGAUGUUUACACCCAAGUGCAGAGAAGACUUGCCCUUGCAUAUAUAUCGAUGUUGAAAUCCUAAGAUAUGGAGACAGGGUAAUUUGUAUAAUUAAGGUUACUAGACUUGCCAUAGAGACCUCAGCCACAUCAAGCGUCGAGGUCCUUUGAUUGUCAUGAAUGCAAUUGCAUUCUUAUCAUCUUUAAGAACAUUAACACCAUUUAUGAACUCAUUAUCAUCCAACUCUUCCAAUUUCUGCAGAUCCUCUAGGCACUUUUGAUACAUAGUUUUCUCAUUCAUGGCAUUCAUUUGCACAGCUCUCAUUGUGGCUGCUGAGAACAUCUCAUACAAAGCAUUAUCUAGUGUCUCUCCAACGUUAUCGCAUGCUCUUCUCUUACGACCUGAUGCCGAACCAGCAACAAAUUUUCGUUUCCUUGGUUGUAUGUCAUUUAUGCGGAUUAUUGAAUCAGAAUCAAGGGUACCAUCAACUACCUGUGUAGCAAGGUUAACCGGCUCUGAUGAUCUCACUGUUUCUGUAUUGCUGUUUCCCUCUUCAGUUUCAACCGGUAGUCCACUUGGAACCAGGAACUUUCCGCCAACUCUUUCUCCUGUAUCAGCCAUGUCACUAAAUGGUAGAUUAUUCAACAACACAACUAAUAAAGGACAUUUUGUUUACCUUCAAAUAUGAUGGACAUCUGUUUAUACAGGGGAAAGCUCUUUCGCCGAAAAGGCCUUGCCUCACUUCGUACCUAACAUAACAUUAUGUCAGCUUCGUACAAAUGCAUAUCAAAUAUAACUUAGAAAGUAAUUUACCGACCGCAAUGUAGCUAUCCCAAACUUUAUCAUCAGCCACAACCAUUUGCCGCGUUUCAUCCCAACCAAAUCCUGUAUGACUAAGCAGAGUUUUAACAACACCAUAUUCUUUCUUCAUCACAUUGUAACGGUUUUUAAUUUGGUUUUCCUCCAAACUCAUACCAAACUUCUUAUUAAAAUCAUGAGUGACAGAUCUGAUCACUUCAUUUUUGAAUUCAUUGUAAGCAGUUCUUCCACAGUUGUGUUGCUCAAUAAAAAGUUCAACCAGAUAAGCAUCUCGAGUUGGAGUCCAUUCUGCCUUCGGUCGCCCUAAGAUCCCAUCCUGUGGAGCAGACAUACUCUAGCUCUUUGCUAAAAAGGAAAAGACCAGUCAAGAUGGGACAAUGUGCUAAAUCAACAAAACAAAAUUUAUACAACAAUAUCUCAGAUUUAGAACUUACAAGGAAAAAGCUACCUUUUCCUAAAUAAAUCAAGUCGAACAGCAUUGGUCUAUCUCAUGUGGAAUAUUUAGAUUUACAAACCUGUUUUGAAUUAGUGAAGAAAUUAUUGAAAAAGCAUAUCCACAAAGGGAGGCUUUCAGGGUAAGGAAAACAAGGCCAACAUGCAGAACAACAUUAUGUUCCUUUACAGCAUUAUCUAUGAUUGUUCAGUUAAUGGUAAAAAUUAAAAAACAGUAUUUUGAUGUCUACAUGAAGUGAUUUGCCUUUCACCUAAUCUAUGGUAUUGAUUGUGAAGAGUGCAUGAUAGAGUUACCAUUAUAGAUGCAUCUAUGAUCUUCAUUUAUAGCGAUAAUUUCACUUGACCCACGCUCUUUCUUCAGAGCAAGUCUUAUGAAAGCCAAAUUUCUCUCUGCAUAUUCUGGGUUGGCAAAUUUACCAGAAGUUUAAGUUGAGCAAUCUCAGACUACCCUGGCCAAUCAUUUUACUGCCCUCCCUCAUCCCUCUUCCCCCUUAUUUUUAAUAACUGGUUACCUGGUACCUGUUAAAUAGAAACUUCAACAAAACUCACUUCCAUUGACAACCAAAGCCCAGAUCUUCUUCAAACCUCAAAUGCUGUUCCUAUUAGAUCAGAAAUAAUGAUAAGCUGACCAGGAUAGGUCCAGCAAAUUACUCUUAAUGUAGUUAAAAAAGAGUCAUUAUUUCAUUCCUAUGGCAAGAAGAUUUCAUCCUCAUAAGGUUGACUUGGUUCAUCUUUUGAAGACUGAUUCAUACCAUCACCACACAAAUUGUAAGGUUGAUAAUAACUAAUAAUACAUAUUAGGAUUCUGAUGUCAGUUUGAACAAGCACCAAGAGAAAAGAAAAUGCUGAAAAUAUUAUUAGGGUAGGAAACUGAUUUCUUUAAAUCCCACCCAAAUAUAAGAAGCCAAUUCAACUACAAUGGAAAAUCUGAAAACUCCAAGCACUGCAUGAUACCCAUUCUAAUCUAUGAUGGAUACCCAAAUUCUAAUUUAAAUCGAUCAUCAUAUCAUCGUGCUGCUGCCAGUUUUAAAAAUGUUCUCAAAACUCCAAAAUACUAAUUCUAACUUCAAAUAAGAUCAAUACUACCAAGAAAAUAUGAGCAGAUUGAAGAGAGAGCAGAUGAGAUAAUAUUAUGUUAGCUGUGUAAUCUAAAAUCAAACAUUUCCAAGUUAUUUACUUCAAGAACUUGAACAUGGAAGAAUUAAAAGAUACUACACUACAUGGUACUCGGUUUCCUUUUCAAUUUGUACUCAUUUCCCACCGUUUCUCAGUCAACAAACAGAGCAUGAAAUUAAACUGAGCAAACAGCAAAGAGAAACAUCAAUAGGAAAUACCUGGAGAUUUAUCGACACCGGGGAAUUUAUCGGUAAUCGGAGCUCCGGCGACCGGCGAAUGGAGUAGCGGUUAUGUGUGAUGUAUGCUUGAUUUGUUUUAAGUGCAGUUUAAAGGGCUAAGAUUAUCGGAAAGUAAGAAAUUAAAAUGAUGGCAAAUUAACUUUUUAAUCCCUCAAAAAUUUUAUUAAAAAGUUAUUUAAGUUUUAUUUAAAUAAAAUAAUUUAUUUAACUUUUUAAAUUAAAAAUAGCCACUUAAUAACACCGUUAAUUUUUCAUUUACGAGUUAAAAUUUUGAAUAUUUAAAUUUUUAAAAAAUAGUUUAAAAGUCAUUAAAUUUUUAUUGAAUAAAUAAAUUUAAUUUUUAAAUUUAAAUAUUUAUUUAUAUUUAUAUGGUUAAUAAAUAAAAAUAAAAUAUAAUAAAAUUUUAAAUAUUUAAAUUUAAAAUUAUUAUAAAGUAUGAAGAAAUAAUUCACUUUAAAAAAUUUAAAUUAUAUUUUUAUUUUUUUAAUUAAAUAUUAAUUUUAAUAUUAACCUUUCAUUUAAAAAUUUAUAAAUAUUAUUAGAAUAUGUAAAUUUAUUAUAAUUAUAGAUAAUAUUAUGAUAUAAAAUAAAUAAUAUAAAUCAUAAAAAUAUAUUGAAAAAUUAAUUUAUAAAAAGCUAAUUAAUAUUCUUUUAUAAAUUUUAACUAUAAAAACUAUGAAAAUAUAACAAUUACUAAAAGUCAUUCAAAAUUAAUAAAAAAAUUAUAAGAUAUUUUUUAAAUUAAUUUAUAAUAUUAUUUAAAUCUCAUAUCUAUAUAAAAAGUUAUAUUUAAAUUUUUAUUAUAUUAUUUUAUUUUAUUUUUUUAUUUUAAUUAUAUAUAUUAUAUUAUAAUAAUUAUAAAGACAUUAAUUUUUUUUUAAAAAAAUUAAUAUUAAAAUUUGACCUUUAAUCAAUAAAAAAAUAAAAAAUAUAUAAAAUUAUUUAUGAUUUUAGUUGAUAUAAAAAAAUUUCAAUUUACUAUUUAUUAAGUUUAAAUUUUUUUUAAAAUAAUUUAAAUAAUAUUUUAUUAAUUAUUCUAUUCAUUUAUAACAAUAUAAAUUAUUAAUAAAUUAAAUUAUUAAAAUAUAAUAUUAAAAUUAUUUAUUUACGGAUUUAAAUGAUUAUUAUGAUAUUUAUUAAAAAUUUUAUUAUUUUUUAUUUAAUAGAAAUUUAAAAAUAUUAGUUUAAGAGAUUAAAUGAAUUAUUUUAUUUUACUAAAUUUAAAUAAUAUUGGAGAAAAUUUUCAAAGAUGUACCACGUCAGACAGUCUGCUAGAUUAUGUCUCCACGUUAAAGCUAAUCGCUCUACUUUUGGGCUUAUAAAGAAUGGGCCACUAAAUCCGAUCCAUUUUAAAAAUUUCUUUUAUUUUUUUAAGUAAUAAUUCACCAUAAUAUAUAAAUAAACUACAUAAUAAAUUAAUCAUAUUAUUAAAAAAUAAAAAUUAUUAAAUAUUCUGUGUAUCUAUAAUUUAAAUAAAAUUUAAAUUUUUAUGAAUAUUUACUGCACAUUUUCUCAUGCAAUAAUUAUUAUAUUCCAUUUUUAUUUAAUAAAUUAUGGGAAAUAAUGCUUAAGUAAUUCAGAUUUCAACUUUUUGGUGUGUGAAGUAUUCCAACUCAAUAAUUAAAAAAAAAAUUAAAUAAUUUUUUAAAAAGCAAUGAUAAUAUCAAAUCAAUUUACGUUAUGAGUAAUAAUAUUUAUGAAAGUAGUAAUGCCAACAAANNNNNNNNNNNNNNNNNNNNAAAAAAAGCCAACUUAAUUUUUAUCAUAUCAUUAUUCAAAAUUAAUCAUAUUAAAUGAAUGAUUGUGCUCAACAAGUUUAGUAUUAAGGUGCAUGCGUUGGACAACCCAAAAGAAAAGAAAUCAAGGUCUAAAAUUUAGAAUAAUAUAAUUAGAGAAAUAGAAUGGAAAAUAAAAAAAUAUUAUUUAAAAAGUUAUUAAUCAUUGUCUUGAUUUUAAACAUUAUAUUAGAAUAUUUUUAAAUUUUUUAAAAAAUGCAUUAAUUAGUCAAACCAUUAAAUUUAAUUAUUAAACAUUAAAGAAAAAUAAUAUAAUAUCCUUAAUAUUUAGAAAUCAAUUAAUGUAUUUUUUUAUAUUAUAAUAAUUAAAUAAUAAACAUUGGUAAAAUUAACGAAUUAAAUAAUUAAUAAUUUUUAAAAAAUUUCAAUAAUAUUUUAAUAUAUUUUUUAAAUUAAACAAUCCGCUAAUAAAUUUUUUAAAUAAUGCCAAUCCGACUAAAAGAUUUCAAGAUUUGCGUGUAUUUAUAUUUUAAUUUAAAUAUUUUAGUUUUAAUUUAUUUGAUCCAAUUUUUAUAUUUUAAUAUAAUUUUAGCUAAUUUAUAAAUUUAUAAAUUUAAUAAUUUAUAUGGCAAUUUAAUUAUAUAACUUGGCAAUAUUAUCGUAUAUUAUUAUAAUUAUUUUUUAAUUGGUUAAUCGACAAAAAGACCUAAUAUUUAUAUUAUUUUAUAUUUUAAUUCAAAAUUUAAAUUUUAGAUAAAUUGAUAUUUAUGUUUGAAUGUAAUUUAAAAUUUAAAAUUUUAAAUAUAUUACUGCAUAUCAUCUAAUCGAAAAUAAUAAUAUAUAUAAAAUAAUUAAAAAUAAUAUAUCUAUUAUAAAAUCUUGAUCAUUAUUAAUACAAAAACAGUUAAAUUACUAUUAUUUUUAAAUUAAAUGUAUUAUUUAACUAUAGUUAAAUAUGAGUUAAUGUUAUUUUCACAUAUAAAAUUAGUUUAUAUUUAAAAAAUAAUAAAGUAUCAUGUUUGGUAUUCUAUCUAAACUUUUAUAUUUUAAUUUUUAAAAAUUAACUAAAAUUACAUAAAUAUUGAACCAAUUAAAUUAAAAUUUUAACGGUAAAAUAAUAUAAACAUUAAACCUUUUUCAAUUAUUUAGUCAUUAAUUUAUAUAAAUAAUAAUAAUAUACAUGACAUGUCAAUUGGACUAUCAAAUUUAAAAAUUUGCAUAUAGAUUAAAAUUGCACAAAAUACAAAAGUCAGGUAAUUAAAUUAAAAUUAAAAUAUUUAAAUUAAAAUGUAAAUAUGCAUAAAUAUUGGGUUUUUUAAAUCAAUUGUCCUCCAAAUAAUAUACACUAAAUAAGUAAUUUUCUAAAAAACGAGUGAGAAUAUAGAGUGAAAUCAAAACGGCAAGAAAAUACUAAUGAGACACAUUGGAAUGCUUUGUUGUGCUUUGGAGCAAAAGCAGGCAGCUUUAGUGAUGUAACAUUAAAGUGGGAAGAAAAAUGGAGAUAUUUUCUAUAUGUGAUUAUUUGAUUCUAAAAAUUGCUUCCAAAAGGGGAAGCUAAUAUCAUGGUGUUUGUUGAUAAAUGGGUUAAAAUCAAUAUAGAUAGCUAGCAAUGGAGUUCACCACAAUUCAAUUAAUCAUCAAAUUCAAUAUAUUGUCCCAAGUCAAUGUUGGUUUCUAAACCCAUGCCUCUUUUUAGUACCAAAAGGCAAACGUGCUUCCUUGCUUCUCUUCUGCUUUUGAAAAAACAAAUGGUCAUUUUGAAAGGAGAUGAAAUGCUAAAGCUUGAUCCAUUAAGGGUCAUUGCUAAAGGUAAAAGUAUAUCUUAGAAAAAAAAUCCUAACCAAAUCUCCACUAAUUUAGAUAAAAAAUUUUACUUAACAAAAGCCUGAAAAUAAUAUUCAAUCUCGAUGAUGUCGUAAAAAUAAAUUUUUUAAAAAAAUAUUAAUGUUUGUUUAUUUUUUUUAUUUAAAAAAAAAUAUUAUUUGAUUCUUGUAGUAUAAAAAAAACUCAUUAGUUAAUUUAUCUAUUUUAAAAAAAAUAUAAUAAGAUAUUCAUGAGUUUUUAAAAGGUCUGCAAAUUAAUACAUCCCUUUAUAUUAGCCUUUAAGUAGUAUAGAAAAGUAUAAGAUCUGGAGGGACCAAUUAAUAGAUAUUUUUACAAAUUGAAAGAUUAAUUAAUGAGUUUUUAUAUAUCACAUGGAUUAAAUACUAAAAUGUUUUAACGACUGAAUCUAAUAGAAAACUUAAAAGAUAUUUUCUAAAGUUCAUGAACAUUUUAAUAUAUUUUUAAAAAAUAAGAGAAUAAUUAAUAAAUUUUCAUGCAUCAUAUAGAAACUAGAUGAUAAAUUCUCUUUAAUUAAAAAAUUAAAAUGAAUAUUAUUGUAUUGUACUAUAUAUAUAAAAAAAUCUUGGCAUGAUUGAGAGAAACAAAGUCUUAAUUUAUUGCAAAUAUAACUCAAGAGAUAUAUGAUGGAACUGUAAAUGAUAGCAAAGGAUGAUUAUUGUUCAUCAUAAGUGACUUUAGCAGGCAUGGCAUGCUUAUUCUUGAUUAUGGUUCAUUAAUAAUUAGCUUGUUUUCAUGGUCUUUAUAAGGAAGAUUUAGGUUGUUAAAUUAUGGAAGAGAUUUUGAUCUUUAUUAACUGAAAAAAUGUCAUAAUAAAAACAACCCAAUUAUAGAAUUUGUUGUCCAAUGGUGUCCCCUCAUUUUAGAGAAUAAAGUUCUAAGACAAAGGUUAGCAAAAUUAGCAUGCCUUGUCUAGAUUUAUCAACGUUAGUUUCCCAUGCUAAAAGAUUAUAGCCCAUCUCUCUCUCUCAAGUGCAAAAUCUAUCUGUUUGUGAGAGCCCUAUUUCAGCUUAUGAGAAGAAAAUUAUUAUUUCAUAUGAAAAUAAUGCUUUUACUGAUUUGGUAGCUUCCACUUUUUUGUGAAAAUACUGUAUAAAUUUUCAUAUAUUAUUAAAUCUCAUCCAAUAAAUUGUUCAUAUUUGAAAAUUGAAAGAUUAUUUGACAUUAUAUAUAGGUUAAGCCAGAAAAGCAUUUUUCAGCAAUAAAAAAAUAAUUUUAGAUGAUAUAAGGAGCAAUAGUUUGGAAAAGUUAUUUUAUUAUUCUGGUAGACUUAUAUUAUUAAAAUAUGUCAAAUUUAAUAUUUAAUUUAUUCUUUUUUAAUACUAUUUGAGUAAUAUAUUCAAAUACUGAUUAAUUCAACCACAUUUUCAAAUUACUAUUAGAGUAAAUAUUAAUUCAUUUUAUAUAAAUUUAUAUAAAUAAUUGAGUUAUUUUACCUAUCAAAUUACAUAUCUAGUGCAUGAGUUUUUUUAUUUAAUAAUAAUAAUAAAACUUGUUCUCUCUAAAUGUUUUCAGUUUUACCAUAUCUUAAUUUUUAUUAUUAAUUUAACUCCAACAUUACUCAUGCAUGACUUUAAAGUCCUUUUUAAGAUAAAACUUUCCAAGAUUAAAAAGAUUUUAAUCUUCUUUUCAAAUAGGAACUAAAAGCGUAAAAUUUAAUUGAUAAUUAUAAUUUAGUGUAUAAUUAUAAUUUAGUGUUUUCUUAUGUUAGGGAGAAAACAGUUUAAUAACUUUUUAAGACUGAUUUAAAAUUUUCAUUAUGAAUAGUAUACCAAUGUUAAAAGGAAAUUAUACAUUUAAGAAAAAAGUUUAAAAUAAAUUCUACAUCUUAUUUAUAAUAGAUUAGAUUAUUUUAUUUCAAAUAAAUUUAAAAAUAUAAAAAAAUAAAUUUAAAAUUCAAAUUUCUAGUAAUUACAUGACACAAGACCAUAUAAUUCCCUUUUCUCUCAAUCAUCGUGAAUGAAACAAGGGUCAUAUUGGCUUUCUGUACUCUCAAGAAAAAAUAUUAUCGGCUCUCUAAGUAAAAAAUAAUCUCGAUUAUUAAAAUAAAUUUUUUUAGAGAAUAUUUUUUUCUCCAAUUUUUCUUUUAUUGAACUAUUUUCUGUCAAUGUCAGGCUAUCUUUUUAUGCGUUGGAUGACCUCUUCUAUUCAUGCGGAACAAAGAAUGGUGAUAGUGAAAUUUAUGAAUAUCCAGAUACUUAGGUUCAAAUACAUUAUAAUUUCAUAUAAUUCUUAAACGGUGAAUUAUAUACAUGACUCGUAGAAAAUACGUGAUUAUACAUUGGUUAUAUAAUACAAGAUGAAUUUUGAUCUGUUUGUUUAUUUUUUUUCCGUCCUGAAUAAUUUUUCAACAUAUGCCAUAGUUAUUAGCUUUUUAUUUAUUUUUUUUAUCUAAAUAUAUUUUAGUAGAUAUCUUGAAUUGCUUAUAUCAUACUCUACAUAUUUUUUUAAAAAUGUAAAAUUAAUAUCAUUUGAAAACUCUUGAAAAGAAAAGCUUUCCAAGCAGUAGACUUGCAUUAAUUUUUUCGAUAUUUUUUUAUUGAGAUAUAAUUGAUAAAAGUCGAGACUUUUAUACAAUAUUUUUUUGGGUAAUUUAUAACAAAGUCUAUUAUAUGUAGCACAAUUCACAAUUUAGUCCUUAUCAUUUUAGUCCCUAUCAUUUUAGUAAAAAAUAAUAUAGUCCCUAAGAUUUCUUUCUAUAACAAAAUAGUCAUUCUGUUAAAAUUUGCUGUUAAACUAUAACAAUUUAGCCUUUUGAAUUUUACUUUUUGUCACAGUUUAGUCCUUGUAACUUUAAUAAUUUGUAAUAAUUUAGUUCUUAUGGUUUUAAUAUUUCUAAAAAUUUAGUCCCUUUAAUUUGAGUUGACUCAUUUAAUUAACAGUUAACUAAUGGUAAAAUUAAUAGGACUAUUUUGUUCAUAAAAUAAAAACUCAGAGACUAAGUUGUGGGUUUUACUAAAUCUCAAGGAGUAUAAUGUAAAAUAUUUUUUUUAUUCUAAAAUAUUUAUAGAAUAUGUUAUUUUAAUUACAGUAGAGGUUAGAUAAGCACAAAGUUUAUCAUUUUUGUUUUGGACUGUUAUUUUUUUUUUUUGUAUAUGUAUAAAAAUAUAAUAUAAACUUCUAAUGGGAUGCAAGUCAUUUAUGGUCCGGUACGAUCACUUCUACUGAAUAAAGAGUUCAGGUAGAUGAGAUAAUUAGAUUGUUGAUCAUCUCCGAGAUGAAUCCUAAAGACAUUUCAAAUGAGAUAAAUCGUCUAGUAUAGUUUAUCAUCAAUGUGAUUGAUAAAUUUCUUUUUAAAAAUAUUUUUUUAUAAGACAAAGAAAGAUGUUUUUUUUAAGGAUCGUGUUAUAUAAUCCUAAUCUAAAAGAAAUUUUGGAUUCCAUUUAGAAGAAUGUUAAUGAGUCCUACAGUCGCCUUGAAUUGGAAUUUAUUAGUGAAUAUUCUAAAUGGAUUACAAAUAAGACGACGCGUCGUUCGAUAGGAUUAUCAGAGCAAAUUUUCAAUUCAUGCAUAUUUAAAAAAGUAAUUAUCAAUUUACGCAGGAUUUGAAAAUAUUUUCGGAUCCUGUGUGUCAGCGUAGCGUGUUCGGCAGUCAUUCUGCCGAACACGCUAGUUCGACACCUAUGGUUUCGAACUUUCUAUUGUUCGACACCCAUAGUGUCGAACAAGCUGAUCUGUGCCCCGAAAAUAGUGUAAUUUGCUCCCGUAGCUGCCAGCGUGGCGUGUUCAAUACCCAAGGUGCCAAACACACACAAGAAGAAAACUCUUCGGCACUAUAGCUGAUUAAAGCCUGCAGGGCCGUACCUGCACGCAUGCAUGCAGAGGGGAUUGCACAGGAAUUUGUUCUUGCAUGCAGAAGGAAUUGUACAGGAAUUUGUUCGGCAGUGAUGGUGCCGAACAAAAUCCUAUGCGGUCCGUGGCUCCUUUGCACAUGCAAAAGAAAAGUGUUCGGCACUAUAAGUGCCGAACACUUUUCCAGCUGCUACAUGUACGGCCAUUUAUUCCCAAUGGCUAGUUUGGCAGUCACCCCCCGAUCUCUCUAUAAAUUAUCCCACCCACCACUCUAUAAAUCACUUUAGCCCGCCCCUUUCCGAUCUCUCUAUAAAUUACCCCACCCACUACUCUAUAAACUACUCAAAAUAUGCAUUAUAUCUCAACACAUUGCGUUCUAUAAACUAUUUAUUCCCCUCUACAAAUUUCACAAAAUUAUUAUAUCUACUCUUAUCGAUUCGAUUACAAAAAAAGAAACACAGGUAAGUUUUAAAUAUUUUAUAUUCUAAAUUUUUAUUUUUUUUAUGUAUAUAGUAAAUUGAGAUCAAAUUAUUUAUUAUUCUAAUUUUUUUUUAUCAGAGAAAUGGCAGUUCCUGCAUAUGCUAAUAUUCAUUGGGAUGGUAAUACUAUAAAUAAUUGUAAUGGUUACGAUUAUGAUGGAGGUUUUUCAAAGAUUAUUCCAAUGGGUAAACGGAUAAGUUUUAAUCAAUUGAUCGGUAAAAUUGCUCGUGCAAUUGGAUUAUCCGAGAAUAAUGAAUUUGUAGAGACAAUUAGUUUUAGAAAGCCUACAAUUGUGGAUGGAUCCUUAAAAUUUGAAUGUAUGGAGAUAUGGGUGAAGAUGAUGUAUCUAGUAUGUUUAAUUACUUGUAUCAAAUUGGUAGUUUACUUGGUAUAGAAAUAUAUGUUAAGAUACUUCGUUGUGUUGAUACUACAAAUGAGAAUGCUGAUAUUGGUCCAUCUGAAACUGUUGUGGAAUCAAAUAAUGAACCAUGUGAAGAGUAAAAUGUAGUUGAUGAUUAUGGUUUAUCUGAUAGUCUUGCAGGGCCGUCAAUUAAUUUAUCUGAUACAGUAGGGAAUGAGAACGAGGAUGAGGAUGAGGACGAGGAUAACGAUGACGAUGAUUCAUGGAUGUCUACUGAGGAUGAUGAGGAUGAUAAUGGUCAGGAGGAUAGUGGGAGUGAGUCUCGAUAUUACAACACACAAUUUCCUAAUCCCAUUGUGCAUGUUGUUCAUCCUUCCCUAUACACAGAAAUAGACUUCGAUUUGCUGAGGGUGGAUCCUUAUGAUAGGCUAGAAGGUCAUUCCUUCUGGGAUCCUUCUAAAAAGUUUUCAGUUGGGAUGAUAUUUUCUUCGAGAGAUGUAGUGGCUGCGACUGUAAAAGAAUAUCAUCUAAGACAUCAUCAUCAAUUUUGUUAUCAUGAAACAAGAGAGAAGACUUAUUCUAUAAAGUGUAAAGACAAAGACAGUGGGUGUGCAUGGAGGCUUCGAGCAUCCAAGAAAGAAGGAGAGGAUAUAUGGAAAAUUAUGAAAUACAGUGGACCGCACACAUGUACAAAUUCUCAGUUGACAAAAAACCAUAGCCAAUUGGAUGAAAAUUCCAUUUGUUCAUUCAUCUUUGCAUUAAUUGAACAGCAGCCCGAUAUAAAAAUUGCUGCCUUACAAGCUGAAGUGUGGGAUAAAUUUGGGUACAAGCCGUCUUAUCAGAAAACAUGGAAAGCUAAGCAGAAGGAAAUUGCAAGGCUUUAUAGGGGUUGGGAUGAAUCUUACAGUCGUUUGCGUAGAUUCAUGACUGCUCUUCAUCAUUUUAACCCAGAAACAGUAUACAUGAUUGAAGAUAAUCCACAUUGGAUAAACGAGCGAUUAAAUCCGAUGUGUCGUAUAUUUGACCAUAUGUUUUGGGCUUUUAAGCAAUCGAUUGAGGGAUUUAAAUAUUGCCGACCUGUUAUCUCAAUCGAUGGGACAUUCUUAUAUGGAAAAUACACUGGGUAUAUACUGUGUGCAAUCGCACUCGAUGGAAAUAAUAAACUAUUUUCAUUAGAUUUUGCCAUUGUUGAUAAGGAGGAUGGUGACAAUUGGUCAUGGUUUAUGGAUUGCUUAAGGAUCUUUGUGACCAAUUGAGAAGAUUUGUGUGUAAUUUCAUAUCAACAUGCUGGAAUUCUAAAGGCGAUGCAGAAAGAUUGGUGGCAACCUCCAGCUGGUCAUCAUCGUUAUUGCAUCAGACAUGUUUUGAGUAAUUACAAUAAGAUAUUAAAAAAUAAAGCAAUAAAGGAAGCGUUAUGCAAGGCAGGUAUGUGUCAUAUUUUAAUACGAAGUUUAUUUUAUUUUUAAAAUUUAAAGUCACUUUUGACUUAUGCUAAUUUAACUUUGAUGAACUUGUCAUUUAUAUCAGCAAAUGAAAACCAGAAAAGGAAGUUUUAUGAGGCAAUGAACAAUAUUCAGGAGGUGCACCCUGAAUCAUAUGAUUGGGCAGUGAAGAUAAAUUUAGAGAAAUGGACGAGAUCACACGAUGGUGGACAAAGGUAUGGCGUGAUGACAAAAAACAUGGCAGAAUCCCUAAAUGGCAUGAUGAAAGGAUUUUGGGCAUUGCCAAUAACAACAAUGGUUGAAAAAAAACUUUUUCCAGUGUGUCCAUUAUUUUAAUACGCGGAGGACAAUAUUUUUAGAUCAACAAAGCAAAGUGUAACGACCCGAAAACCGGACAGCUACCGGCGCUAGGAUCCAGAUCGACUUAAAUUCGCCGGGACCCGUAGCAAGCCUACUAUACAUCCUGUGUACCUGAUAAAAUCCCAUACAUGAAAAUACAUUUUCAUAAAAACUUUAAACUUUUCAUAUACCAAGCUUGACCUGUGCAUGCACCAUAACUGUAAACAUAAAACCCCACACUAGAGCCCUCAUCAAAUGCUCUAGCGGGGCAACAUAUAAUACGUCAAGCCUGGUUCAAUAUAACUCAUCAUUAAAACAUUUCAUAUAGAUCAUGUACAAAAAAGGGAUUACCAUUACUAUUAGGGCCAAGCACAAUACUAAACCAUGAAACAUUUCUCUACAUUACAUUACAUCAUACCAUUUUACAUUACAUGUCCACUACUAAUCUAUUACACUUAACACAACCUUCAACCUUGACGACUUCCCAGUCUAUCCAGAACCUGCAAACUUGGGGGUUAGAGGAAAGGGGUGAGCUACUAAAGCCCAGUGAGCAUAACAAUAAAACAAUUUACUAAAUAAAUGCUUUCAUGAAAUGCAUCACAAUACAAACAAUUCACAUCACGGUUGGACUUGUCACCAAUAACCCCCUUUCCUCUUGAUCAUAACAAAAUGCAAGGCGCGUGGAAUGGGCAACCCUGGACUUUCUUACGUGGUGCCAGGACGCGUGGCAUGGGAAGCCCUGGACUUGCUUACAUGGUGCCAGGACGCGUGGCAUGGGCAGCCCUGGACUUGAUUAUCAUACCAUACCGAGGGCUAAUGGGUCAUCCAAUAUCCAUCCACAUCAACAUCAUAAUAUGCAAUGCAUCAUAUUUGUGAAUUCUAAUGCAAAACAACCUAAUACAUAUCAUGGCAUUCGUGAUGCAUGGAUCAUGCUAAAUAGAUUUCAUUACUUUGAAAAUAAGAGAAGUUAUGUUCUACUCACCUUUGGCUGAUAUUGGACUGACUCUGAAGCAGCUAUCUCACUGCUGACCUUCUCGGUUCCUCGGGUCCGAUCCUACACAGGUGGACUCAAAUGAGGGACCAAACAUACUCUAACAUGACUUUAAACAUCUCCCCAAAAAUCCCCUAAAACAUUAUAAACAUGCAUGGAAAAACAGGCAAAAGAAAGCUGAACAGGGGACUUUCGGCGGCAGGUUCGGCAGCCGAAGGUCCCUCCAGAGCCGAAAGUCAGGCACUUUCGGGGGCAGGGUUCGGCAGCCGAAAGCCCUUCCAGAGCCGAAAGUCACAACCUUCGGGGGCAGGUUCGGCUGCCGAAACUCCCCUCCAGAGCCGAAAGUCCAAACUUUCGGGGGCGAGCUUAGGCGGCCAAAACUGCCUCCACAGGCAGGUUCGACGGCCGAACCUGGGCUCUCCCAAAAGGCAGAACCCGAUUCUGCCUUGCAUAUCCAGCCACCCACAACAUCCCAACAUGCAUCAAACCAUACUAAAACAUGCAUAAACACAUUUCCAAGCAUAUAGGGGCAUAAAACUAGCCUAUACCCCAAAAACAUCACAUUUAGCAUACAUUUAUCAUUUAACUAACAUAAACCCUAACAUUUUACAACUAGCCUAAACAUGCAUCAAAACCCUUAACCCCUUCUUAAAACUUACUUAAAACAUCAUAAAAGGCGUGGAUCGACACUUACCUCUUGAAGAUCGAGAGGAGAUGCAAUCCCAAACUCGGAGAUAUGGAGGAACGAGCUCCGGGGGUCUCUAAGCUUCAAAACUUUGAUCUUUAGCUCAAAAAUCUUCAAAACAAGAUGAAAGCUUGUCAAAAACUUGAAAGAUUUGAAGGAAAACAUAAAAUCGACCAAAGGAAGGGAAAAUCUCACCUAUGCCCGAAAAUAGAGAGAGAAAACUCGUCCAUUUUCGGACAAGGGGCCUUUUAUAGGUGGUUGGCCAGACCACCUUUGGGGGCCAAAGGUGCUUCCGCAAGAGCACGAUGUUCGGCGGCCGAACAUGAGAUUCGGUGGCCGAACCUGGACUCUUCCUCCAUGGUGUUUCUUUCAAAAACUCAUUUUCUUUCUUCAUUAAAACUAUAAAAACAUGUAAAACAUUUUAUAAAAACAUAUUUUACCCUUCUAGAGGGUUCCGAGAUCCGAGAUUCCGCCGGAAAGUAGGAAUUUCGAUGCCGGGGUCUAGCCGGGUAUUACAUUCUUCCCCCCUUAAGAACAUUCGUCCCUGAAUGUUCAACACACAAGCAUAGCAUGGCAUAAACAUAAACACAUAAACACUAACCUUAAAAGAGAUAGGGGUAUUGCUGGAGCAUAGACUCCCGUGUCUCCCAGGUACAUUCUUCUAUGUUGUGGUGAUUCUAAAGAACUUUCACCAUCGGGAUUUCCUUGUUCCUUAGCUUUCUGAUCUGUGUGUCUAGGAUCCGCACCGGUUGCUCAACAUAGGUGAGAUCUCCUAGGAUCUCCACAUCAGCCUCAUUAAGAAGCUUGCCCGGAUCUGACACGAACUUCCGUAACAUGGAAAUAUGAAAAACCGGAUGGAUUCUCUCCAUUGAAGCAGGUAGGUACAGCUUGUACGAUACAUUCCCAAUCUUCUGCAAUAUUUCAAAGGGUCCAAUGUGUCGUGGAGCUAGCUUACCUUUCUUCCCAAAACUAAUCACCCUUUCAUAGGAGACACCUUGAGCAACGCCAUAUCUCCCUCCUGAAACUCUACAUGCUUCCUGCGGACAUCUGCAUAGCUCUUCUGCCGACUCACAACAGUUUUGAUCCUUUAUCUGAUAAUGGGCACUACUCUGCUGGUGAUCUCUACUAGCUCAGGCCCUGCUAAGGCCCUUUCUCCAACUUCUUCCCAGCAGACAGGUGACCUGCACUUCCUUCCAUACAAAGCUUCAUAUGGAGCCAUCCCUAUGCUAGCAUGAUAGCUGUUAUUAUAGGCAAACUCCACCAAAGGUAGAUGUUGCCUCCAAGAACCGCCAAAAUCAAGCACACACAUUCUGAGCAUAUCUUCUAUGGUAUGGUACCCUCAUAAUGUCUAGCACCCUCAUAAUGUCCACAAAAUCUAGCACCCUUAUAAUGUCUCCCUUCAGACUUACGUCAUCUGGUACACAUAACCUGUUCCCAUAGCGGAGGAUCCCUUUGCUGUCAAAUCUGAACUCUUCAUUCUUGCCUGACUGAACAUCCUGGAAGUUUUCACUAACUCUGGGUCCUCAUGCUGUUUCUGAGCCACCUGCUCUAGAAACACGGGUGUCACUCUCAUCUGAGCUAUCAAAGCACCUGUACCAGACAAUUCCAACUGCAGCCCUUCAUCAAUGAGCUUGUAAAAUUCCCUCACCACCGGUCUUCUCUCUGCUGUAACAUGGGAUAAACUGCCAAGUAAUUUCCGGCUUAGGGCAUCUGCCACCACAUUUGCCUUACCCGGAUGGUACUGAAUCUUGCAAUCAUAGUCACUAAGCAGUUCCACCCAUCUUCUCUGCCUUAGGUUUAACUCUCUCUGACUUAAGAUGUACUGCUAGCUUUUAUGAUUUGUGAAGAUCUCACAUUUAACCCCAUAAAGGUAAUGCCUCCACAUCUUGAGUGCAAAGAUCACAACUGCCAUCUCUAGGUCAUGUGUGGGAUAAUUCAACUCGUGCUUCUUCAGCUGCCUAGAAGCAUAAGCAGUUACCCUCUCAUUUUGCAUCAACACACAACCUAGUCCCACACGGGAUGCAUCACAAAACACUGUGAAGUCUUCAUUACUGGUAGGCAGAGCUAACACCGGUGCUGACGUCAACCUUUUCCUCAGCUCUUCAAAACUUUCCUCGCACUGAUCAGACCAUACAAACCUCUGAUUUCUCUUGGUUAACCUGGUCAUAGGAGCGGCAAUUUUGGAGAAGUCAUGAACGAACCUCCUGUAGUAACCUGCCAAACCCAAAAAGCUCUUAAUCUCUAUCACUGUAGUGGGUCUAGGCCAGUUAGCUACAACUUCUACUUUCUUGGGGUCCACUUCAAUUCCCUUUUCUGACACAACAUGUCCCAAGAAGGAAAUGCUCCUCAACCAGAAUUCACACUUGGAGAACUUGGCAUACAAGCCGUACACCCUCAGGGUCUGCAAAACUAUCCUCAGAUGAUGGGCAUGCUCCUCUGCGUUUCUGGAAUACACCAAGAUAUCAUCAAUGAAGACAAUAACAAAGUGAUCCAGAUACUGACUGAAAACUCUAUUCAUGAGAUCCAUGAAUGCUGCAGGGGCAUUGGUUAGCCCAAAUGACAUUACUAGGAACUCAUAAUACUCAUAUCUGGUCCUGAACGCCGUCUUCGGCACAUCUUCCUCUCUGAUUCUCAGUUGGUGGUACCCAGAUCUCAGAUCUAUCUUGGAGAAGCAACAUGCUCCUGCUAGCUGGUCAAAUAGAUCAUCGAUCCUGGAUAGAGGAUACUUAUUCUUGGUAGUGACUUUGUUCAACUGCCUGUAGUCGAUACAAAGUCUUAAGGAUUCAUCCUUCUUCUUUACGAACAGCAUGGGAGCACCCCAAGGUGAGGUACUCGGUUGGAUGAAACCCUUGUCUACCAACUCUUGCAACUGCUCCUUUAGCUCCUUCAAGUCUGCUGGAGCCAUCCUGUAGGGGCGAAUAGAGAUUGGUCUGGUUCCAGGCAUCACUUCUAUUUCGAACUCUAUCUCCCUAGCAGGUGGUAGUUCUGGAAGCUCAUCUGGGAAGACAUCUGGAAACUCUCUGACUACAGGCACGGAGGUGGGCUCCCUAACCUGACUAUCAAGCUCUCUCACAUGAGCUAGAAACCCCUGACAACCUCUCCUGAGCAACCUACGAGCCUGUAGGGCUGAUAUCAGACCUCUAGGUGUACCCCUACUGUUUCCCCUGAAGACAACCUCUGACCCAUCUUGUCCUCUAAACCUGACUACCUUGUCUCUGCAGUCCAAGGAAGCACCAUGAGCGGAUAGCCAAUCCAUCCUUAGAAUGACAUCAAAACCAGUCAAAUUUAGAACCACUAGGUCUGCUGGAAGGCAUCUACUCUCAACAAACACUGGGCUAUACCGGCAGACUGACUCUGCCACUGAUGGAUCACACUUGGGUCCACUGACCCAGAGGGGACACUCUAACCCAGAGACUAUCAAACUCAACCUCUCUACGGCUCUCGGAGCAACAAAAGAAUGAGAUGCACCAGGGUCCAUUAAAGCAUACGCAUCUGAACAACCAAUGAUGAGAUUACCUGACACCACGGUGUUUGACGUGUUUGCCUCAUGCUGUGUCAUAGUGAAGAUCCGAGCUGGAGCUGAUAGACCUUCACCCCGGGAACCUGCUGAAGAAGAGGCUGCCCCUCUCCUUCGGCCUCUGCCACUGCCACUGCCUUGUGUCAUGACUGGAGCUACAGGUUGUGCCACACUGCCUGAAGCUGUCUGCUGGGACGGUGCCAUGAAAGCUGCCCUAGGACACUCCCAUGCCAUGUGUUCCUCCUGCCCACACCUGAAGCAGGCUGUUGUCCCAAAUCGACAUACUCCCUUGUGCGGCUUCCCACACCUCAUGCAUUCUGAACCAUCUGAACCUGAGCUCGAGCCACCACCUAAUCCCAGACCGGACUUUAACCGGUUCCAGAACUUGCUCUUCUUGGUCUUGGAUCUGCCCCACUUUUUACUACCUGAAGCUGCUGCACUCAGAGAAGAGGGAUCUAACUUUCCCCCGCCUGGGGUCUUGGAACCCGAAGACUGUGCCACUGACUAUUUAACUGACCCCUCAAUGAUGGCACUAGCCUCCAUCUUCCGUGCUGCAUCCACAAUAGUGUGGAAGCUCUCCCUCUCUGCUGCAAGGAUUAGGGAGGAAUACCUAAGCUGGAGCCUCAUGGUAUACCUCCUAGCUUUCUUCUGAUCUGAGUCAUAUGCCUGACCCACAUAUUGCAGCAACUCUAGAAACUUGUCGGUGUACUCAUCGACACUCAUCUCCUCUGUUUGCCUUAGCUGUUCAAACUCAAGAACUUUCAGCUCCCUGGGGAAAGCCCAUCCAGCAAACUCAUUUGCAAACUCCUCCCAGGACAAGCUCUCCAACCUCGGGUCCACAUAGUUUUUAAACCACUCUCAUGCUUUCUUGCACUUCAAAGUGAACCCCGCCAUAUGAAUGGCUCUACUAUCAUCUGCCUCCAGCUCAUUUGUUACCAUUUUUACCGUUUUGAGGUACUCAAACGGAUCAUCUCCCGUCUUGAACUUGGGAGCAUCCAGCUUCAAGUAAUCGGUCAUCUUUACCUUGCUCCUCACAGAUGAGCUAGGUUUGGGUGUUUGGAUUUCAGGGGAUACAGGUUCUGCUGGUGGUGGAGGAGGUGCAGCAUUCCCUGGGUUAGGGUUUGCUGUAUUUGGGUAGAAGGGUGAGGGUGGAUACGUGGGGUACUGUGGUGGGUAAAAAGGAGGGUAAGGCAUGUAGGAGGGAUAUGGGUUAAAGCUGGAGUAAUCCAAUGUACCCCCCAUUGGAUACCCUGGGCCCUGUGGAAAGGGUUGAUACUGGGGUGGAUAACCAAACCCCGAGGCCUGAGCGCCUCCUUGCGACUCUCCCAUGCCCUCUUCUGACAUACUCAUGCCCAAACUACCAUAUCUUCUCUAUUCAUCCUCCUCUGAUCCCCUUACAUCAGCUGACAUACCACCCUGAACUGUCCCCCUCCUGCUUACAUCAAAAGACCUUCUAGGGUCCCUUGACGGAACCUCUCUACUUGAUCUACAUGACAUUGCCCUUGGCAAAGUAGGGGGACGGGCAUCCAUGCCCUCAUUCUCUGGUGGGACUCCAGUCAAUCGUGCAGAUCGACGAGUGCCUCGCAUUCUGUUUUCUGAAACACAACAUAUACACAUAAACAUUAGCAUCAUAUGGUUCAUGUGGAAACAUAUGAACCCGCAUCAUACAUAGCAUAUCAAUAAUGCACAUGCAUAUAGUCAUGGCAUUUCACAUCAUCGUCAUGACAGGACUCUAUAUCCUAUCCUAGUGGACAUGAUUUUUCCUAUUGUGCUUGCCCUUCUAUGACAUCUAUGAGCCCGACACUCUCUAGGUCCGACCAUAUGAACCUAGGGCUCUGAUACCACUCUGUAACAACCUAGAAACCGGACUGCUACCGGCACUAGAAUCUAGAUCAACUUAAGGUCGCUGGGACCCUUAGCAAGCCUACUAUACAUCCUGUGUACCUGAUAAAAUCCUAUACAUGAUCAUACAUUUUUAUAAAAACUUUAAACUUUUCAUAUACCAAGCUUGACCUGUGCAUGCACCAUAACUGUAAACAUAAAACCCCACACUAGAGCCCUCAUCAAAUGCUCUAGUGGGGCAACAUAUCAUACGUCAAGCCUGGUUCAACAGAACUCAUCAUUAAAACAUUUCAUAUAGAUCAUGUACAAAAAGGGGAUUACCAUUACUAUUAGGGCCAAGCACAAUACUAAACCAUGAAACAUUUCUCUACAUUACAUUACAUCAUACCAUUUUACAUUACAUGUCCACUACUAAUCUAUUACACUUAACACAACCUUCAACCUUGACGACUUCCCGGUCUAUCCCGAACCUUCAAACCUGGGGGUUAAGGGAAAGGGGUGAGCUACUAAAGCCCAGUGAGCACAACAAUAAAAUAAUUUACUAAACAAAUGCUUUCAUGAAAUGCAUCACAACACAAACAAUUCACAUCACAGAUGGACUUGUCACCAAUAACCCCCUUUCCUCUUGAUCAUAACAAAAUGCCAAGACGCGUGGAAUGGGCAGCCCUGGACUUUCUUACGUGGUGCCAGGACGCGUGGCAUGGGCAGCCCUGGACUUGCUUAUCAUACCAUACCGAGGGCUAAUGGGUCAUCCAAUAUCCAUCCACAUCAACAUCAUAAUAUGCAAUGCAUCAUAUUCGUGAAUUCUUAUGCAAAACAGCCUAAUACAUAUCAUGGCAUUCGUGAUGCAUGGAUCAUGCUAAAUAGAUUUCAUUACUUUGAAAAUAAGAGAAGUUAUGUUCUACUCACCUCUGGCUGAUACUGGACUGACUCUGAAGCAGCUAUCUCACUACUGACCUCCUCUGUUCCUCGGGUCCGAUCCUACACAGGUGGACUCAAAUGAGGGACCAAACAUACUCUAACAUGACCUUAAACAUCUCCCAAAAAAAUCCCCUAAAACAUCAUAAACAUGCAUGGAAAAACAAGCAAAGGAAGGCUGAACAGGGGAUUUUCGGCGGUAGGUUCGGCGGCCGAAGG